This 423-nucleotide ribosomal RNA is filed under the name uncultured bacterium. Its description in RNAcentral is "partial 16S ribosomal RNA". It matches the Rfam family "Bacterial small subunit ribosomal RNA", at positions 360 to 775 of the family's 1533-position model. The record is from RNAcentral.
AAUUUUGGACAAUGGGGGAAACCCCGAUCCAGCCAUCCCGCGUGUAUGAUGAAGGCCUUCGUGUUGUACAGUACUUUUGUCAGAGAAGAAAAGUUAUUUCCUAAUACGAGAUACUGCUGACGGUAUCUGCUGAAUAAGCACCUUCUAACUAAUUGCCAGCAGCCUCGGUAAUACGUAGGGUGCAAGCGUUAAUCUGUAUUACUGGGCGUAAAGCGUGUGUAGGCGGUUCAGAAAGAAAGAUGUGCAAUCCCAGGGCUCAACCUUGGAGCUGCAUUUUUAACUGCCGAGCUAGAAUAUGUCAGAGAGGGGUAGAAUUCCACGUGUAGCAGUGAAAUGCGUAGAUAUGUGGAGGAAUACCGAUGGCGAAGGCAGCCCCCUGGGAUAAUACUGACGCUCAGACACGAAAGCGUGGGGAGCAAACAG